RNAcentral lists this ribosomal RNA (484 nucleotides) under uncultured bacterium. RNAcentral describes it as "partial 16S ribosomal RNA". It matches the Rfam family "Bacterial small subunit ribosomal RNA", at positions 30 to 507 of the family's 1533-position model. The record is from RNAcentral.
AUUGAACGCUGGCGGCAGGCCUAACACAUGCAAGUCGAGCGGAUGAAGGGAGCUUGCUCCUGGAUUCAGCGGCGGACGGGUGAGUAAUGCCUAGGAAUCUGCCUGGUAGUGGGGGAUAACGUCCGGAAACGGGCGCUAAUACCGCAUACGUCCUGAGGGAGAAAGUGGGGGAUCUUCGGACCUCACGCUAUCAGAUGAGCCUAGGUCGGAUUAGCUAGUUGGUGGGGUAAAGGCCUACCAAGGCGACGAUCCGUAACUGGUCUGAGAGGAUGAUCAGGCACACUGGAACUGGGACCCGGUCCCGACUCCUACGGGAGGCCGCAGUGGGGAAUAUUGGACAAUGGGCGAAAGCCUGAUCCAGCCAUGCCGCGUGUGUGAAGAAGGUCUUCGGAUUGUAAAGCACUUUAAGUUGGGAGGAAGGGCAGUAAGUUAAUACCUUGCUGUUUUGACGUUACCAACAGAAUAAGCACCGGCUAACUUCGUG